GAUGAACGCUGGCGGCGCGCCUAACACAUGCAAGUCGAACGAUUAAAGCACCUUCGGGUGUGUAUAAAGUGGCGAACGGCUGAGUAACACGUGGGCAACCUGCCCCUUUCAUUGGGAUAGCCACGGGAAACCGUGGAUAAUACCGAAUACUUCGAGACUUCCGCAUGGAAGACUCGAGAAAGCUCCGGCGGAGUGGGAUGGGCCCGCGGCCUGUUAGCUUGUUGGUGGGGUAACGGCCUACCAAGGCAAUGAUGGGUAGCUGGGUUGAGAGACCGACCAGCCAGAUUGGGACUGAGACACGGCCCAGACUCCUACGGGAGGCAGCGGUGGGGAAUCUUGCACAAUGGGCGAAAGCCUGAUGCAGCGACGCCGCGUGCGGGAUGAAGGCCUUCGGGUUGUAAACCGCUUUCAGCAGGGACGAGGCGAAAGUGACGGUACCUGCAGAAGAAGCCCCGGCUAACUACGUG
This 467-nucleotide ribosomal RNA is filed under the name uncultured bacterium. RNAcentral describes it as "partial 16S ribosomal RNA". It matches the Rfam family "Bacterial small subunit ribosomal RNA", at positions 28 to 507 of the family's 1533-position model. The record is from RNAcentral.